Molecule: ribosomal RNA, 443 nt
Filed under: uncultured bacterium
Lineage: Bacteria
Description: SSU rRNA
Rfam family: Bacterial small subunit ribosomal RNA
Source: RNAcentral
AGAAUCAACGCUGGCGGCAGGCCUAACACAUGCAAGUCGAGCGCCCCGCAAGGGGAGCGGCAGACGGGAGAGUAACACGUGGGAACGUACCCUUUGGUUCGGAACAACACAGGGAAACUUGUGCUAAUACCGGAUAAGCCCUUACGGGGAAAGAUUUAUCGCCAAAGGAUCGGCCCGCGUCUGAUUAGCUUGUUGGUGAGGUAACGGCUCACCAAGGCUACGAUCAGUAGCUGGUCUGAGAGGAUGAUCAGCCUCACUGGGACUGAGACACGGCCCAGACUCCUACGGGAGGCAGCAGUGGGGAAUAUUGGACAAUGGGCGCAAGCCUGAUCCAGCCAUGCCGCGUGGAUGAUGAAGGCCCUAGGGUUGUAAAGUCCUUUCGACGGGGAAGAUAAUGACGGUACCCGUAGAAGAAGCCCGGCUAACUUCGUGCCAGCAGCCGC